UACGGGGGGGGCAAGCGUUGUUCGGAAUUACUGGGCGUAAAGCGCGUGUAGGCGGCCAGGUAAGUCGGAUGUGAAAGCCCGGGGCCCAACCCCGGAACUGCACCCGAUACUGCCUGGCUGGAGUCCCGGAGAGGAUGGCGGAAUUUCCGGUGUAGAGGUGAAAUUCGUAGAUAUCGGAAGGAACACCAGUGGCGAAGGCGGCCAUCUGGACGGUGACUGACGCUGAGACGCGAAAGCGUGGGGAGCAAACAGG
Molecule: ribosomal RNA, 253 nt
Filed under: uncultured bacterium
Lineage: Bacteria
Description: partial 16S ribosomal RNA
Rfam family: Bacterial small subunit ribosomal RNA
Source: RNAcentral